This is a long non-coding RNA of Cervus elaphus (red deer), 509 nucleotides long. RefSeq lists it as uncharacterized. NCBI's taxonomy places the organism in Eukaryota, Metazoa, Chordata, Mammalia, Artiodactyla, Cervidae. The record is from RefSeq and is a predicted model, not a curated record. The transcript is spliced from 3 exons.
GUGAGGAUGUGAGUCAUCACACUGGCUUCCACGAAGUACACACUCUUCUCUCCUGCGAGAUUGCUUAGGAUCCAGCAGUUAAACUCAGAGUUGAGAAUGAGCGUUUUGGCAUCACAGAGAAGGAGACUCAAGGCUUCCCUGCUGUCUUCUGGGCCCUCACAUGGAUCACAGCAGAAAUGUGGCACACAGGGCGUGGUCUACAGUCAACACCAAGAUUCUGGGUCCAAAUCAAGAACAAAAGCGAUUCUUCGGGAUUUCUGACAUAGACCAUCGUGUCAUUUCACAGUUUUAUUUCUUCCUUUCUGAUUCUUUUGCUUUGCUAGUCAGUCUGUUUAGUACUUUUAAAGCACUCUGUCAGAAUCUAACAUUUAACUUCUACUUAUAUAUAUAUAAUCUAACGUUUAACUUCCACUUUUAAACACUCUGAUAUGAACAAACCCUGAGAGGACCUCAAGGACAGAGAACAUGACCAGGAACACCCGGAGAGUGUCGGGGUGUGAUGUCAGCAA